RNAcentral lists this transfer RNA (85 nucleotides) under Didymella heteroderae. RNAcentral describes it as "tRNA-Gln". It matches the Rfam family "tRNA". Rfam says of the family: Transfer RNA (tRNA) molecules are approximately 80 nucleotides in length. Their secondary structure includes four short double-helical elements and three loops (D, anti-codon, and T loops). Lineage: Eukaryota; Fungi; Ascomycota; Dothideomycetes; Pleosporales; Didymellaceae. The record is from RNAcentral. RNAcentral also lists the same sequence under 2 other names.
GGUUUUGUAGUGUAGCGGUUAUCACUCCGGAUUCUGAUCAUCUCAGUGUCUUCCGGCAACCCCGGUUCGAUUCCGGGCAAGACCU